UGUUUGAUGGACGAAUUGGAUGGAUUAAUCAAUAGAUGAAUAUUGAUGAAUCAAAUUUCCACCUCUACAUGUAUUUAUUCAAUCGUCAUUUCCACCUCUGCAUGUAUUAUUUAUUCAGUUGGCAUUUUUCUUCUCGACUUUAUUUCCAGCUGAAUAAAUAAAGCAUUUAAAUUUCAUUCACAUCUUACACACAUUUAAGUACUCUUUUUUUCCUUUCUAGGAUUGUAAAACCAAACUUUUCUUCCAUCAAGAUCUUGUGUUGGCCUUGCAUUUUCCUCAAAUCCCUGUAAAAAGAGUCAUAAUUUAGAUAAGAUUAAUAAUUUUUUGUAUGCUUACUUUUGAAGGACUAAAUUAAAGAAAUCCAUACUUCUUGAACAAUAUUUACCAAUAUCUUUGAUUUAGGUAAUUUUUAGAGUAGAUAAUAAGUUAGCAAUAUCUAAGUGAGAAAUCCACACUUACAUGAUUAACAGCUUUCAAAGCCUUCAAUUGUUCUACUGAGACUGUCUUCACCUGUAAUAAAGAUGUUAUAAAAGUUAAUUAAAAAGGGUGUCUAGUAAAUAAAUACAUAUUAGUGUAUGAUAUAGUUAAGAGAAUCACAUGAAAAUUAAAGUAUAUACCUUCUUCAAAACUGUCCAAAUAACAUCUUCAGUACAUGGUGGACUUGUAAGAGAACCAAUAUAUCUGUAAUAUUUUGUGCCUCCGAACUUGAAUAUAUCUGCUGGAUUAAUUAUUCCUACAUCUAUUUCCUUGUCACGGAUAGACUUUAUGUGGUUAAGCAACUGCCAAAAAGAAAAAAUUUAAAGUUGAAAUUGAAAUUUAGGGAGUAUAUUUAUUUUACUUUAUUAGAUAUACAAAAAAUGUAGCGAACCUUUGAAAGUAAGGGAUCUGGACGACCAAUUUUAUACCAAAUUCCAAUCACAGCUAUCUCGUCUUUAGAAUUUUGAUGGACACAAUGUUGUUCCAUAUCAAACCUAGAUAAAAAUUACAUGACAUUAUUAUUAUUAUUAAUAAUACAUACAUACAAAUAGCAAAUAAAUUAUUAAAAGGGUGAGUUUAUUUAUGCUUAUCUUAAGAACUUAUACCCACUUUGAUCCAUUCAAUGUGUGCUCUGAAGGUGUAUGCCAAUGACAUUGUAUUAGUUUGUAGUAAGUUCCAUUUAGAUUAAGCUUACCUGCAUAACCUUUCCAUUGGAGCUGUC
This 1198-nucleotide long non-coding RNA is filed under the name Medicago truncatula (barrel medic). Its description in RNAcentral is "lncRNA gene42461". The record is from RNAcentral. Lineage: Eukaryota; Viridiplantae; Streptophyta; Magnoliopsida; Fabales; Fabaceae.